AGAGUUUGAUCCUGGCUCAGAACGAACGCUGGCGGCGUGCUUAACACAUGCAAGUCGAACGCGAAAGGGGCUUCGGUUCUGAGUAGAGUGGCGCACGGGUGAGUAACGCGUAGAUAACCUGUCUUUAUGUCUGGAAUAACACACCGAAAGGGGGUACUAAUACCGGAUAUUCUUGUUUUUCAUAAGGCAUGCAAGGAAAGGUGGCCUCUAUUUAUAAGCUACUGCAUAGAGAGGGGUCUGCGUACCAUUAGCUAGUAGGUGGGGUAAUGGCCUACCUAGGCGACGAUGGUUAGCGGGUCUGAGAGGAUGAUCCGCCACACUGGCACUGGAACACGGGCCAGACUCCUACGGGAGGCAGCAGUGAGGAAUAUUGCGCAAUGGGGGGAACCCUGACGCAGCGACGCCGCGUGAGUGAGGAAGGCCUUCGGGUCGUAAAGCUCUGUCAAGAGGGAAGAAGUGCACUAUGGUUAAUACCCGUAUUGCUUGACGGUACCUCUAAAGGAAGCACCGGCUAACUCCGUGCCAGCAGCCGCGGUAAUACGGAGGGUGCGAGCGUUGUCCGGAUUUAUUGGGCGUAAAGGGUUCGCAGGCGGCCUUAUAAGUCAGAUGUUAAAGACCAUAGCUUAACUAUGGAAAGCAUUUGAAACUGUAUGGCUUGAGUCAAGGAGAGGAAAGUGGAAUUCCUAGUGUAGCGGUGAAAUGCGUAGAUAUUAGGAAGAAUAUCAGUGGCGAAGGCGACUUUCUGGACUUGUACUGACGCUGAGGAACGAAAGCAUGGGGAGCAAACAGGAUUAGAUACCCUGGUAGUCCAUGCCGUAAACGAUGAGUGCUAGGUGUCGGGGGUCAAACCUCGGUGCCGGAGCUAACGUAUUAAGCACUCCGCCUGGGGGGUACGUGCCCAAGCAUGAAACUCAAAGGAAUUGACGGGGACCCACACAAGCAGCGGAGCAUGUGGUUUAAUUCGAAGAUACGCGAAGAACCUUACCAGGACUUGACAUACUAGUGAUCGGUAUAGAGAUAUACUUUUUCCUUCGGGAACACUAAUACAGGUGGUGCAUGGUUGUCGUCAGCUCGUGUCGUGAGAUGUUGGGUUAAGUCUCGUAACGAGCGCAACCCUUAUUUUUAGUUGCUACCAUUAAGUUGAGCACUCUAGAGAGACUGCCGUUGAUAAAACGGAGGAAGGUGGGGAUGACGUCAAAUCAUCAUGCCCCUUAUGUCCUGGGCUACACACGUGCUACAAUGGUCGAUACAACGGGCAGCUACAUCGCAAGGUGAUGCUAAUCCCUUAAAGUCGAUCUCAGUUCGGAUUGUAGGCUGCAACUCGCCUACAUGAAGUCGGAGUUGCUAGUAAUUGCAGGUCAGAAUACUGCGGUGAAUGCGUUCCUGGGUCUUGUACACACCGCCCGUCA
This 1409-nucleotide ribosomal RNA is filed under the name uncultured bacterium. RNAcentral's name for it is "partial 16S ribosomal RNA". It matches the Rfam family "Bacterial small subunit ribosomal RNA". The record is from RNAcentral.